AGGCUAGGGGUCAAAUCAGAGCUGUAGCUGCUGGCAUACACCACAGCCACAGCAAUGUCAGAUCUGAGCCACCUCUUUGACCUACAGCUCACAGCAACGCUGGAUCCUUAAUCCACUGAGCAAGGCCAAGGAUCGAACCUGCCUCCUCAUGGAUGCUAGUCAGCUUCGUUUUGGCUGAGCCACGACAGGAACUCCCCAGUCAGAUUCUGCUGAGCCACAAUGGGAACUCUUCUGUGCUUUUGAGCAGUCUUAUUUUGCAUAAGUAUACUGUUGAAUCUAAGAAGCCCUGUGAAACUGGGUUGACUCCAACAUUUCCCAAGUGUAUUUCCAAAUGGAAUCGCUUUCUUUGUGGAAGAUCCGUUUGUGAAUAAAAGAUCGGGAUUAGAGUUCUGUUAGUGUGGGUCUUCCAAAGAGCAGGUUCCAAGAUGUGAUUGGCAUCCUCAAGAUUUAUUUGGGGAAACACCCAGGAAGGAUAAAGAGGAAGGAGUAGGAGAAGGAAGAGUUUUAGACCAUGAUACAGGUCUGACUCCUGUGUUGGAGAGCAGGAAGAAAGGGGAAUCGGGUAGGAAAAAUCUUCUAAGAGAAUUUCCUCCAGGCAUCUUGCAGUGCACGUAAGUCAUCCAUUAGAGGAGUCCCAGGUCUUACAGGAUUAGUUCACUAGCUGGGCUUCCACAUUUGCUUCGAGCAGCCCCUGGUCAGUGUGGCUUCAGUGCGACAGAGUGGUCAAUCGAGAGAUGUAGCCUCCAGGGCUGUCAGUCAAGUGUGUUUCCUGCAGCUGGAGAUCUGAGUGGCACUUUUUCAUGACUGCCACAGCAUCCAGUCUGGUCCUUGUUAGCUAUGCAACCUUGAGUAAGUUAUUCCAGGGUCCAGAACCUAAAGAGUUAAUCUAUAAAAUGGGAGAGAACCCUUUCUAUGUCAUAUAGCUGCGGUGACAUAUAGCUGUAUGUGAAAGUUCUUUGUAACCUGUGAAGCAUUCUAGAAAUAGAAAAGAAUAUUCUUCUGGAGGGACUGAAGCCUGUUCAAGUGCAUUAGCUGCUAGAAAGCCACGGUGCUCCUUGACCACCACAUAUUGUCUUUGCUGUCAUUGCUCUGAAUUUCCCACAGGCUCACUACAGUGGUGAGCAUCUAAUAGGUAACGAGUGCAUGUUUGUUACAUCAUGAUAGCAACUGUUGUGAGUUCUCCAAGGAAACACUCCAUGACUAAGAUGACAUGUGGCAUAAUGAUGGUAGACGCUGAAAUGUAUUCCCUCUGGUAGAAGGCCACAUGGCAGGAGGCAAAGCAUAGGGGAAGGUAGGGGAUGAUUUCUGUUGAUAUAUUCUGUACUUGUAUCUGGAACUGAUGUAGCAGCUCCAUGAUGAGGAACUUCUCUGAGUGGGGAAAGAAGGAAGAGAGUUUCAUAACCAUCUUGCUUUGCAGAAUAGUAUCUCUUUUUGAGAAUUUCUGAAAUAAUUCCGAAGCUAAUUGAAUUGUUAAGACAAUUCUCAAUCUUCAUUCUUUUUUUUUUUAUUUUCCCACUAUACAACAAGGGUAUCAAGUUAUCCUUACAUGUAUACAUUACAAUUACAUUUUUUCCCCACCCUUUGUUCUGUUGCAACAUGAGUAUCUAGACAAAGUUCUCAAUGCUAUUCAGCAGGAUCUCCUUGUAAAUCUAUUCUAAGUUGUGUCUGAUAAGCCCAAGCUCCCGAUCCCUCCCACUCCCUCCCCCUCCCAUCAGGCAGCCACAAGUCUUUUCUCCAAGUCCAUGAUUUUCUUUUCUGAGGAGAUAUUCAUUUGUGCUGGAUAUUAGAUUCCAGUUAUAAGUGAUAUUCUUGAUAACUGAACAGUGUUGCUCUUCUUUGACUGUAGCUCAUCUGCUUGGUUCUGCUUUCCUGAGAGGUGGAAGUUUGGUCUAUUCCUUCUUUGUACAUUUCUUUGCACCAGCUCAGCAUUUUGUUCAAUAAAUGUUUGUGGGAUGAACCAAUGAAUGAAUUCAAUAUUCAUUCUACAUGCUGGGUGCAAAGGAGACAAUAGUGAAUCAACUAGAGAGAGUUCCUAGAAUCAGUUAGAGAAGGUUCCUACCCUAAUGGAAACUUUAUCCAGUGAACAUUCAUGAAAAAAAAAAA
This 2103-nucleotide long non-coding RNA is filed under the name Sus scrofa (pig). RNAcentral describes it as "lncRNA (ENSSSCG00060017269.1)". The record is from RNAcentral. Lineage: Eukaryota; Metazoa; Chordata; Mammalia; Artiodactyla; Suidae.